CCUACGGGUGGCUGCAGUGGGGAAUAUUGGACAAUGGGCGAAAGCCUGAUCCAGCCAUGCCGCGUGUGUGAAGAAGGCCUUCGGGUUGUAAAGCACUUUCAGUGGGGAAGAAAGCCUUGGGGCUAAUACCCUCGAGGAAGGACAUCACCCACAGAAGAAGCACCGGCUAACUCCGGGCCAGCAGCCGCGGUAAUACGGAGGGUGCGAGCGUUAAUCGGAAUUACUGGGCGUAAAGCGCGCGUAGGCGGUCUGAUAAGCCGGUUGUGAAAGCCCCGGGCUCAACCUGGGAACGGCAUCCGGAACUGUCAGGCUAGAGUGCAGGAGAGGAAGGUAGAAUUCCCGGUGUAGCGGUGAAAUGCGUAGAGAUCGGGAGGAAUACCAGUGGCGAAGGCGGCCUUCUGGACUGACACUGACGCUGAGGUGCGAAAGCGUGGGUAGCAAACAGGAUUAGAUACCCUGGUAGUC
RNAcentral lists this ribosomal RNA (465 nucleotides) under Vreelandella stevensii. RNAcentral's name for it is "partial 16S ribosomal RNA". It matches the Rfam family "Bacterial small subunit ribosomal RNA", at positions 338 to 795 of the family's 1533-position model. The record is from RNAcentral. Lineage: Bacteria; Pseudomonadati; Pseudomonadota; Gammaproteobacteria; Oceanospirillales; Halomonadaceae.